Molecule: ribosomal RNA, 252 nt
Filed under: uncultured bacterium
Lineage: Bacteria
Description: partial 16S ribosomal RNA
Rfam family: Bacterial small subunit ribosomal RNA
Source: RNAcentral
UACGUAGGGGGCUAGCGUUAUCCGGAAUUACUGGGCGUAAAGGGUGCGUAGGUGGUUUCUUAAGUCAGAGGUGAAAGGCUACGGCUCAACUGUAGUAAGCCUUUGAAACUGGGAAACUUGAGUGCAGGAGAGGAGAGUGGAAUUCCUAGUGUAGCGGUGAAAUGCGUAGAUAUUAGGAGGAACACCAGUUGCGAAGGCGGCUCUCUGGACUGUAACUGACACUGAGGCACGAAAGCGUGGGGAGCAAACAGG